UUGUUCCUACGGGAGGCAGCAGUGAGGAAUAUUGGUCAAUGGUCGGGAGACUGAACCAGCCAAGCCGCGUGAGGGAUGAAGGUACAGAGUAUCGUAAACCUCUUUUGUCAGGGAACAAAGGCGGGGACGUGUCCCCGGAUGAGUGUACCUGAAGAAAAAGCAUCGGCUAACUCCGUGCCAGCAGCCGCGGUAAUACGGAGGAUGCGAGCGUUAUCCGGAUUUAUUGGGUUUAAAGGGUGCGUAGGCGGUCCGUUAAGUCAGCGGUAAAAUUGCGGGGCUCAACCCUGUCGAGCCGUUGAAACUGG
This 305-nucleotide ribosomal RNA is filed under the name uncultured bacterium. RNAcentral's name for it is "bacterial SSU rRNA". It matches the Rfam family "Bacterial small subunit ribosomal RNA", at positions 333 to 636 of the family's 1533-position model. The record is from RNAcentral.